This is a long non-coding RNA of Cucurbita moschata (crookneck pumpkin), 557 nucleotides long. RefSeq lists it as uncharacterized. The transcript is spliced from 2 exons. The record is from RefSeq and is a predicted model, not a curated record. NCBI's taxonomy places the organism in Eukaryota, Viridiplantae, Streptophyta, Magnoliopsida, Cucurbitales, Cucurbitaceae.
AAUAAAAUAAGGUUUUAUCUAAAAUAAUAAUUCACACAGCAAUCACGUUCCUAUCACGUGCACAAUGCGUUGUGGUGUCUAUAAAUAGCAGCCGAUUAUAAAUCCUUGGCAAUCGUUAGACGUCAAUUGGCGCGCAGGAGAGAUCUCUGUGUGAUCUCUUCGACGCGGGAGAGGCAAUUUCUCAGCCGUGUCGGCCAAGGAAGGUGAGUCAUUUCCUUAGGGUUAUGGAAAAUUUUAGCGUUGUAUUACGAUUCCAUCUCGGGUAUGGUACCAUCGUUAUCUAUGCUAUGAUUUAUAAUCUUCCUUUUUUUUUUUUUUUUUUUACCGAUUUAAAUCGCGGUAUGGAGAAUCGGUCUUUGUAGGAGGGAAAGCAAAGGCUCUGAAGCAUCCCACGGUUGAUAAGAAAAAUUACGACGAGAAAUCACGAUACUGGAUUGUUUGUUCUUGAUCGUAUACUGGGGUGGGCUUGGGGGCGAUAUUGGAUGGUUUGUUCUUACGCCUUAGGUGGAGUUUGCCAUUUAACUAACGAAUCGACAAGUCAAAUGCCUCUUUUUUUG